UUAGACAAACUAGAGGAUUUUCUUGUUAUUUUGUUGAACAAAUAUUUCUUGUGGUCAAUGUGACCACCGGGCUGUGGAGGCUGAAAGAACACUGUUGUGAUUGUUCUUCUGAAGUCAAAUGUUUAAACUGCAACCUGUUGUUACUCUGUGAAAUACUUGGUUCCACUCCUGAUUGGUUGACUCAAGUAUUCCAUAGGGACAGUGGGGAUGUGUCCCCCCACCCCCACUUUUUGUCAAGGGUCAUUUUGUCUCCACCACAUUCAAAUUCUUCACAUGUAAGCCGUUGUAACCCCAGUUAUUUUCAGCAGUAUAGAAAAUUCCGACGCUCCUGAACGCACCAUCCACACUCGGCAGAGAGUUGCACAGACAUGCAGCACACCUUCGUGAGGUUAAAAAAAACGUGCAGAUGCUAAAUUUGCGCCUGUGCCAAGUGAAAGUUCCGACCCAGGGUGUGCAUUUCCAUCUGACAAUGGCUGUGAACUGCAACUGUAAGCGCUGGAAGUCCUACAGGUCCAGACUUGUAGGCCACAGCUUGUCUCUGUGGACAUGGUAGACAGCCACACUGUUGAGCCUCGCCUGGGACAUGCUUUCAGACGCCGCAAAGCACUGAAGCUUCUCUCCGCUUCACAGGAGGACACUGGGACCACCAGCAAGAGCUCGACCAGGAUCUCCACUUGGUUGAAGAGCCUUCGAACCUCUGGUGCCAUGCUCUUUAGUAUUUGGGUAACCUCUUUGGUGGUGUUGAACUAGGGCUGGGCGAUUUGGUCUAAAAAAAAAAAUCUCCAAUUUUUUAAAGAAAAAUUCGAGUUUCGAUUUGAUUUUUUCUUUCAAUGCACUUAAAAAUUACUGCAGACAUCAGAUAUACUGUCAAAAGUAACUUUAUUGCUGUAAUUGUCCUCAGAAUAAAAAAACGCAUGUAAACAAUUUAAUGAACAAGUUAAUGACGCAAGUUAAUGAGGCUCUGUAAUUCAACAAUUUCCCCAGGAACUGAGAGCAUCUUUUAAUCCGUGGGCAAUUAUUUCACCGGUGUGGUAAUUGGGGAAAUAUGCUGUCUGGAGGCAGAUGCUGUGCAUGGUCCAGCUGUCGUUGCACUGUGAGACUCAUGUACGGCUGCAUUGUCCGGCCACCUCCUCCAGCUCGUUGCGGAUCUUUUGCCGAGUGGUAUUGUACAGGUGAGGCAGCGCCACAUCGGCGAAAUACUUGCGACUGGGUACAACGUACCUUGCAUCUAACACUUUCAACAGCUGCAGUCAAUUCCAGCCAUUUUCAGUACAAAAAGUCGCUAAUAUUCUAUUUGUAAAUAAAAAUAUGACGAGAAAUACAGGGAAUUUUGGACGCGCAUCGCGAGGUGCAUUUCCUUGAAAACGACCGAUUCGUGGAUUAUAUACCGACUUCAGGACAUGUUUUGGACAAAAUCGUUUACUGGCUUGUGUCGUCUGGAUGUAAAAGGUUGGAUUAUGGCCGUUUUUUGUGGAAUAUUUUCAUCUGUGUGUAAUACUGAACCCGGAAAUGCGAGUCGCGCUGGAUGGAUGGAUAUUCGUUGUUUGUCGGACAAAUGUGUUUAUAUUAUCCGCUGUGGUAAUCACAUCUGAAUGUGGUUUAUACCGGCGGAUUCAUGAGAAUCUAAGCUUUCCAUCGAUGUGUAGUGUUUGUAUAAUCGCAUUUGGAGCCUUCGGACAUUCUUGAAAUUCCUAUGCAAAUUAGUAAGUGUACCGCCGGCGGUACACUGAAGUUUUAAACAUACUUUGCAGCGAGGCUUUGUCUGUUGUUCGUCUGAAGCAUCAAAACCGAACCAGUUCCAAAUGAUUGAGUUAGCUGUGCCUUUCUUUUGAAUGAGUUCUCUGUUACAUGCUGCCGCUGCCACGGGGAAGGGGGCUGUGUCACACCACGCUACGGAAGCCCACGAGGAAUGGGCGGACGGAAAGCGAAAGAUGCCGGAAAACUGCGGGGAAAAACUCGAGUUUGCAAAAUAAAAAUCUUUUUUAGCAACAAAUUCGAUAAAUCGAUUAAAUCUGUUUUUUGCCCAGCCCUAUGUUGAACUGGUGAUUUGAUUUCAACAUGGCAAGUUGGAUUUGUAAUGCUUGCUUAUCUAGCUCUGGAUACAAAUCAAGCAUGUCAGUGCCGUUUCUGAUGUUUCCACAAAUCAGCAGGUUCUCCAGCUUGACAAGGUUAUUCAGGCCUUCCUGGUCAAACCGAUCAGUCAGAUGGCUGGUGACUGUGUCAAUGGCUUUGAAGAACUCUACCCGGAAGUACUCCUCAGGGGUUGCAGGGGUAUGAUGUUGCGCUGGACCACCAUACCUUUUGGAUGGUUUUCUGACAUGAGGCAGCUGUAGUGGCAGAAGGUCCAUGGACAAUAUGAAGUCUGAAGCCUUCUCAUAGAGGACCUUAAAGACUCGCGUUCAAAUGUUCCAACCUCGUCAGGACAGCUUGCCUCAGGAGAAGACCAAGCACUGUACUUCUUUUUUGCAGCCUUUCGAGGAUACCAUUGGCUUGGGAGGCAGUGUCCAUCCCACUUACAGAGGCCAUUUCCUCCAGUGCAGCUAAGACAGCCUCAGACUGCCUCAGGACUGGCUGGAUUGCUGGUGUUCGCACUGUCCGCACUGUCCAUCUGAUGGCACACAGAGGCUUGAUUGUGCUGAAGGAGCCUGUGGUGAUCUUUGUGAUUUCUUUAAAAAUUUCUUUCGACUUCCGGGUUCACAGGUAGAUGGUGUAGACAGAUUUAAUUAAAAGCCCAGUAGUCAAACACUCUCUAAAGAUAUGGUCUCAAUUUAGGAAGUAUUUCGGUUGUUGUGCUUUUUCCCUUCUAAGUCCCAUUGCUUCAAACCAUCUCUUUAAACCAUCAUUGCAAGACUCUGUUUUUCAAGAAUAGCAUAAUAAGGGUAUUCUAAGCUUUAAAGAUUUAUACAUUGGUAAUAGCAUGACAUCAUUUGAACAGCUGUGCAAAAAUUCAGUCUUUCUAAAUCAAACUUUUUCAGGUACCUUCAGGUGAGACAUUUUGUUCUCACUCAGUUUUCAGGCUCUCCUGCAUUAGCAGAAUCAUCUUUAGUUGAUACUGUCCUUUCCUUAGAUCCAUCAAGGAGAGGACUAAUUUCAACUUUAUACGGCAUGAUUUUAGAUUUCAGACAUGCUUCCACAGAAAGGCUGAGAUUAGCAUGGGAGGAAGAUCUAGGUCUGUCCCUGUCAGAAGAUAUUUGGACAUCUGCACUCAAAUUGGUUAACUCUACCUCUUUAUGUGCUCGUCACUGUUUAAUCCAAUUUAAAGUGGUGCACAGAGCUCACAUAUCCAAAACAAGAUUAUCGUCUAUGUACCCUGAUAUAAGCCCACUUUGUGACAAAUGCAAAUCUGCUGACGCUUCUCUUAUCCACAUGUAUUGGUCCUGUUCUAGUCUUAAUAAAUACUGGAGAGACAUUUUUACAAACCUUUCUAAAAUAUUCAAUAUUAAGUUAGAGCCAAAUCCUUUGACUGCUUUAUUUGGGAUCAUAGGUAGGGAGGUGCAGCUACCUGCAGUGAAGCGCCGCACUUCGUCCUUUGCCUCUUUGCUUGCUCGGAGAGCAGUCCUGCUGAGGUGGAGGGACAGUUUACCUCCCACUCAUGAACAAUGGCUUGAGGACAUCAUGACUUGCUUAAAACUAGAGAAAAUUAGAUUUUCCCUCCAGCAUUCUAAUGGGAAAUUUGAGAAAAUUUGGGGUCCAUUUCUAAGUACAUUCCAGACUCUAUAGUAGCUUAAUCAACAGGUGCUCCUUAGUAUCUCUAACAAUAUCACAUUAGUUUACUUGGACAGACUUUUGAUGUGACAGUGCCUCCAUGAUUUGUUUGUUGGGCUGGUAGUGAUUAGGGAGGGAUUGUUUUUAUUUCUGGUUUUUGUAAGAGUAUAGGUUUUGUACUUCUUACUUUGUUUCUGUUCCAUUUUUUAAAAAUUUUAUUAUCAUUUAUACUUGUUUGUUGAAUUAUUAUUUAAUAGGUGCCUGCUGUUAUUUUGUGAACCAAUGGCAUGGUUUUGCUUUACAGUCAUCCAGCACUACACCUUUGUAUUAUAACAUGAAAAAUUUCAAUAAAAAAAUUUUGAAUAAAAAAAUAAAAAAUUCUUUGAAUUUUCCAGACUGGCCAAACGAGCAGCCCAGCUCGUGGAUCCACUGCAGAGCAUCUCUGAUCACUGGUGUAGAGGAACAGGCUGCCUGUGUGACCAAGUUCAUGCAGUGAGGACCACAGUGGACAAAAGUGGCCAGUGGCUGCUCUUUGCGAAUAAGAGCUUGUGUGCCUGAUAAGUGACCUGACAUGUUGGCUGCUCCAUCAUAGGUUUGACCUCGGAGACCUGAAAGUGGGAGAUUAAGACGGAGCAGCACAUCUGAGGCAAUUCUCCAAAGUUGCUCCCCUUUUGUGGAGGGGGCUUCAUAAAGGCAGACAAAUUCCUCCCGUGGGCUCAGAUCCUCAUCCACAUAGUGGAGGCAAAGGGAGAUCUGUUCUGUGCCAGUUAUGUCCUGUGUCCCAUCCAUUAAUGAGUAUUGCAGCACAGCCACGUGGCCAGAUUGGGAUCAUUCUCCACCUGAAGAAGAACAAGUGACGAUGUUUGAUGUCCAAAGGCACUAACACAGUAGAAGCACAGAACUCCCUCUCUUUCUGGACUGUAGUGGAGCCAUGGGUAGCCCUUGUACCAGCUGUCUUGGAACCGGAGGGUUCUGUUUGCCAGUAUUUGUGGCUGAAUUAACUUGGCUGAUGGCUGAUAUGGUGAGGCCAAAGCUUUAUCAGGUUUUCAAGAUACAAUUCCUCUCCCCUGUACAUCUGUACUUCCUUCUUGUUCUUGAACACUACCAGCUGCAGUCUGGAAUUCCACUUGCUGUGAAGAUAUCUGGACAACUUUGCUUGUCCAAGCUGAGUUGGCAAAUGAGAUCAAUAUUCAACAUCAAUGACCUCACCUCGUCAUUCUCAGUCACCUGUUCUGGCAGCUCUUUGUUUAUUUCUGUUGACCUCUGCUCCUAGACAAAUAAAAUAAUGGAAAAACACA
Acanthochromis polyacanthus (spiny chromis) is the source of this 5003-nucleotide long non-coding RNA. RefSeq lists it as uncharacterized. Lineage: Eukaryota; Metazoa; Chordata; Actinopteri; Pomacentridae. The transcript has 9 exons. The record is from RefSeq and is a predicted model, not a curated record.